GGCAGAGAGACGUAUAUAUUAAGCGUGAAUCCUGCCAAUAACAUCUUAUUUCCUAAUACGCACACACACACAUAUGCACUACACACAUACCAUAUACACAUGUACACACACAUGCAUGCACACACAUGCAUUCACGCACAUACAUACACACAUGCACACACACACACACACUUCUUUACCCAUAGGUUGUAAUGCUAAAUGAAAUAAUAAGCUAAGGUGAGUUAUGUGUGCGAUUGAUGAGUGACCUGAAGUCAAUCAAGUAUGUGACUGAUGUGUGACUAGGGACCAUUUAUGCAUAUGAUUGAUGAGUGACCAGAAGCCAGUUAUAUGUGUGACUGAAUGGUGCGUGUGAAUAACCUGAAGUCACUUAGGUGUGAGUGAGUGGUGAGUGACCUGAGGUCAAUCAAGUACGUGACUGAUGUGUGACUAGGGACCAUUUAUGCAUAUGAUUGAUGAGUGACCAGAGGCCAGUUAUAUGUGUGACUGAAUGGUGCGUGUGAAUAACCUGAAGUCACUUAGGUGUGAGUGGGUGGUGAGUGACCUGAGGUCAAUCAAGUACGUGACUGAUGUGUGACU
RNAcentral lists this long non-coding RNA (576 nucleotides) under Octopus vulgaris (common octopus). Lineage: Eukaryota; Metazoa; Mollusca; Cephalopoda; Octopoda; Octopodidae. The record is from RNAcentral.